RNAcentral lists this long non-coding RNA (385 nucleotides) under Homo sapiens (human). RNAcentral describes it as "non-protein coding lnc-OR4F29-5:1". The record is from RNAcentral. Lineage: Eukaryota; Metazoa; Chordata; Mammalia; Primates; Hominidae.
AGGCCAAGAAGGCAGUGUUGAAAGGUGUCCGCAGCCACACGCAAAAAAGAAGAUCCGCAUGUCACCCACCUUCAGGCGGCCCAAGACACUGCGACUCCGGAGGCAGCCCAGAUAUCCUCGGAAGAGCACCCCCAGGAGAAACAAGCUUGGCCACUAUGCUAUCAUCAAGUUUCCGCUGACCACUGAGUCGGCCGGAAGAAGAUAGAAGAAAACAACACGCUUGUGUUCACUGUGGAUGUUAAAGCCAACAAGCACCAGAUCAGACAGGCUGUGAAGAAGCUCUAUGACAGUGAUGUGGCCAAGGUCACCACCCUGAUUUGUCCUGAUAAAGAGAACAAGGCAUAUGUUCGACUUGCUCCUGAUUAUGAUGCUUUCGAUGUUGUAA